RNAcentral lists this long non-coding RNA (13374 nucleotides) under Homo sapiens (human). Its description in RNAcentral is "non-protein coding LINC-PINT:29". The stretch from base 11069 to 11138 matches the Rfam family "mir-29 microRNA precursor family". Lineage: Eukaryota; Metazoa; Chordata; Mammalia; Primates; Hominidae. The record is from RNAcentral.
GCAUGACACAGCAGAACCGCAGCUGCUGCAGCAAUUUCAAGCCAUCCGCCCAGGAAGCGCCGCAACCGGGACUCGGGAGGGGUGGAGGGGGCGAGGCAGAGGCCGCGGCCCCAGGGGAUCCUUGGCCCCACUGUGCACCACACACUCCUUUCCCAGCCCAGGGGCACGCGAACAAAAUGAGGCUCAAGCUGACCAGGCCGAGCCGGAGGAACGCUGGGGCUUGGCAGCAGAAGGGAUGGGACCAGAGAGAAGGGUGUGGAGGAGACCCCAGUGAGGGCCAGGACAUUUCAGGUAAAGAGAGGUAAGAAGAGGCCCAGAAGUCAAGGGCCAGACUGUGAAGGUGAUUAGAGGUCAAAAGAGGUCAUAUCUCCGUACCUCACUUCCUGACACAAACAAGUUUUCACUGUUGUCAGCAACAAAGCCCUAAUAUAGCUGCGGAAGAGAAAAACUGCAUUGCAUUUUGCCUCCUGCAAGCAUCAUCAACAGUUACUGGAGGAACGUAAUUCCAGAAAGCUUGAAAGCCGUGGUGAUGGUAAUUAUGUAUCAAAUGCCUGGUUCUAUUUCUGUUAUUAUUGUUUUGUCAUUUCUGUUUUCCCAGCGAUCUGACUGAACUCGCAGAGGGACAAAUCCAGUUUUUCUUUUUGACUUUUGUCAAACUAAAUCAGGCCUGAUAGAAAACUCAUUGCUCUCCGGGGAAACAAAGUAGGAGCCACGAAAUGUCAUUUUAACAGAGCGUGGGUUUGGUGACUGUAGGAAAGGAUUUGAGGACGCUCCUUCUGUUCGGCUUCCUAUGUCAUGAGCACAGGCUCCACGCACGCACAGACACCACGGCUCCCGGAUGCUGUGGCUCCCCGAUCGGGGCUCCUGCAGCGCCAGAAGCCCCUCCGGGAUGCUUCGAGGGGCUCCCGGUGGGUGGAGGUACGGACGCCGCUGCGGCCGCCGCCGCCAGUCCUGCUGCUGUUGUUGCUGCUGCAGUCACGUGGGAGCCCCUUUAAGUUUCCAUAGAGAGGCCUCUCUGGUGUCACAUGAUGGACAUGAUAUAAUGAAACAACAUUGUGGAGAGGAAAGCAUUAGGGGAGCCCACGGCUACAAAAACAAGUGAGUGAGAAGAGGUGGGAGGAAGAGAAACUACGCCACCUCCCCUGCAGCCGAGUGCACGCAGCAGCCUGGCGUGACAAGUGGGCGACGCCGGGGGGCAGGGAGCCGGGGUCCUUGGCCCUGGCCGGGGACCCCACCGCCCACCGCGCGGAGGACAACUUUUAGCCGGCAGCCCAGACCAGCGCGGCACCUGUCUCCGGAGUCUCCACCGCUCCUCCCGAUUCAUCCCAGGGAAAUUCUCAAGAAUACGCUCUACAAAUCUACGUGCGCAUCAUUUUCACCUCGCGUCGCGCCCGGGAGGAAGGAACGAGGCAAGGAGCUAAAGCAGCGUGCGUUCAGCCCUGGGGCAUUUUAUUAAUGCUUUUACGAGUUAGAAGAGUUGGGAUAAUUUGCCAUCUGGAGUUUCUCUGCCUUGCUGAUCUGAGCUCAGACCUGCCAAUUUACCAGAGAUAAUUGAUAACACCCUGUAACAGCUGAGAGGAAAAUGGAAGAAACGGAGAUACUUUUAGUGAAGCAGAAUAAACCACUGAACAGGAAAAAUGAGGAAGCUGUGAGUACCAGUGGAAGGAACGAGCCAGGAAGAGGGACUGGAACCAUCUCAGAAGCCAUGCCCCUCAGGCUGGAACUUGCCCUGUCUCCUCGCAGAUGAGACUGAGUGUACUUGGUCUGGUAUUUGUGGCAUAACUUACGGAACACAUAAGAAUGAUACAGAUACUAUUUAAUGAUGACCUAAUACAAGCUUAGAUAGCUAAGGUGAAAGCUUCUAUGGCCUUAACAUUUUCCUCUUGAAGAAUGUAUUUUCUGUAAUAAAAUACAGUGGCUACUUGAAAUCUAUAAACUUAUGUGAGGUCUGGAUAAAUCUGAGCAACUUUCUUCUUUGUGCUCCAGGAACCUACGCACUAUAUAUAUAAAUAAAGCUUAAGUAAACAUCACUGCAAUCUGUGUUUUGUUUGAUUAUAUUACGUAUUGCCUGAUCUUUAAAUAAUGAUGAAAAAUAGCCUUUAACAUAAACCAUGAAUGGAUAUGCACUUGAGGGAAACAGUUUCUUGGAUAAUUAAACUUUAAUUUCUCACCGUGGAUUCCUUGGAUCUUGUAAUAUUUUUUAAAACAGUCCUGGGGAUUUAUUUUUAAGGCGUCCAAAUGAAUUAUUAGUUCUCAAAAGCCAUAGUAUAUUCAUGGGUCGAUAUAUCCUCAAAACACUAUUUUUAAACUGCUUAGUUUAUUUUUCUUAGCGUGCUCAUCUGCUGCAUAAUUUUCUUUGCUAUGUAUGGGUCACAUGCUUCCUCCCGUCCAUAACUCACGCACUUAAAAUUCUCACUUCCUGAUUGAGCCAUCAGAUUACGUAAAAUGUAAAUCAGCCUGAAUACCUAGGAGCAGGAAUUUUAAGGGAGAAAAUGCCGUUUUCUUUUUCUGUGUCAUUAUUAACCCUUAAAUAUCAGAGUGAGUGUCUGCUCACCUAUUUGUAUUUGGAAACGAGAUACUGUUAGGGGUUUUUCUUGGCCCUUCCCUUUCAGAUUGAAUCAGACUUUGCUGCUUUCCUUAUACAAAAUAAUGUACCAACUAGAUAGACGGUGGGAGUGGUAUCGUUGCAGGAAUGAAACCAAAAGGGUUCCGAUGAUUGAGAGAGAUUCAUUUAUUUUUUAACUCUUCUCAUGAUCUGAAUGAAGAGUACAGCAUCUAUCAAAAGGUAACAACCUAAUAUUUCAGAAUUGCAAGUGGCCAUUUAGCCUUUCUGCUGCCUGAUAUAAAUGAAAGUAAUUCCUAGCAGGCAGGAUGACACUUGUUUUAUCACGAAUCUGACAAUCCAGCACAUUUUCUCAAGCAAUUUUGAAGUUGUCGUAGUAACAGCAUGGCAUUUGGAGGGUCUUUUUAGUAGUUCUUUAGCUAGAGUUAAUUAAUUGUAUUAACUCUGGAUGUUUUUCUUUUUACUCCUCUUUGACAAACAAGGGCUAUAAUUGCUCAAAUAUGUAUUUUGUGUUCUAUAUUUUUUGGUGACUAUAGUUUAAGGACGUGAUGUUUUUAAGUGGUUUCAGUAAAAGGUUAUCAGUUGAUUUCAGACACAUUAAACUUGGGUUUUUAAUUUCUCUGUAAAAUUCCACUAUCAUUGUAGGACCAGGAUUUAGUUUUAUUUAAGAAGUGAAUCUGGGGAGAUAUUUGCACAAAUUGAAUUGUGGCUUGCUUCCAGUGGUUGCAACUAUCCGUUGCUUUGAUUUUGGUGUAUUUAGAAAAAGAACUGGGGAAUGCAGAAAGGGAAAUGUGUCAGGCUUACAGGAGAAAAUUGUUUCUUUAGAAAUGCAACAGGCAGGCACACCACCAAAAGCAUGUUCCAUAAAAGAAAACAAAUAAAUUUGAUUUUGUGAAACUUAAGAAUGCAGUGCUCUUUGAAACUCUAAAAUAUACUUAAAUAAAUUCUCCCCUAGGAAGAUUUGUGGGAACUUUUUAUUGGUGGAAAGUAGGUUGGAACUUCUAGUAUUAAUAGUAAAACUCUGUGGCAGAAAUUCUUGCCAAUAUGGCGGUUGGUGAGAAAGGAAUCCCGUUUCUUGGGCAGGGAGAGGGUCAGAAGAAAGAAUUGUCUGUACUCAGUCUGGAUGCCGGGACUUAAAAAGUAUCAGAUAUACAAUGCUUUUGUUUUCUUGUAUAAGUGAACAGAGAGAUGUGACACUUCUAAAAGGUCUUGUGAGUUUUGUGGGUUUAAUGCUAAUGCCACUAUCCUUACUGUUCUGUGAGUAUUUGUUCAGCCACGGGUGAUUCAAGAGAGUUGGGGUAUCAGCAUGUGCAGCCAACAGCAGUCCAGGUGCUAAUGCACCACCGGUGAUGUCAGGAGUUACGAGACAGCGGUUUCCAAACACUGCAGUAAACAAGGUCAAAGUGUCCCGUUUCGCUGGAAGAAGUUUUGUUUUUAUGAGCUGGACAGUACAUGGAUGAAGUAAUUUUUCAAAACAAACUUUAAAUUUAUACAUGUGUUUUUUUUCUUCUUCUCUUUGGAUUAAAAUAAAUUGGCCCGUUGAGAUUAAAUAAUGGUUAUGUUUUUAAGCAGAAUUAUAUUUCAUAUGUUUUUCCAGUCUUUUAUUGAUUUUCUGUUUUUCACAGAAGAAAUGAAAAUAACUUCUGAUGUAGGGUUUCUUAAAUGCAGUUUGAGAGAGCAAGAUAGGAACCAGUACUUUCAAAAUAUGGCAAGUGCAAGUCACAAUCCCUAGUAAGAUAUUCCUUCUCAUUUUGUGCCUUUGACUCUUAUUUAGACAGACGUUUAAGUACGAGAAAGCUAAUGGCGCAGAUUCUGCUGACUGUGUGGCUCUCGUCUUAAUGCGUUUUCCAACCUUGAACCUGAGAAUGCCAGAGGAUUGAGUCUCUGGACGUUCAUCUGAGCAGAUAUCUGCUGGCCGCCUGGUUCCUGAGCUAACAAGUGGGUGUCCCGGGCUUGUGUGUGUAGUCACAACAGUGGAGGUGCCACGUGGCACCCAGAGGUCGACUGGGGCUACCGCGGGGCUUCCCGAUCCUCACAAGUGUGUCUUCAGUGUCUGACAUGAACUGGGAACUUGGGGCAUCUUUAGAAGCACAGACAUUUGGAGUUCCACGGCAAACCUGGAUGUAAGCACUCACACAGCUUUUAAAGUGAAAGCAGGGACCUUGAGGAAGGAAUCGCCGUCAUCUCAUUGCCGACCUGCUUACUGUGCUGGGAAACAAAGACAAGUCCUGCGCUUGGGGAUCCUCUGUACGCCCGUUCACUGGUGCAGGUCUUCUGAACAAAUGCCUCCUGAGGAUUUCUGUGCCUGGAAAAUAUCUGUUAACAGACUGCUUUUACACCUACGUAAGUAGAGGCUUCUGCUUAUAAGUCAACCUCAAGGGAGUUUUAUUUUGUCCCUGGAUGAUUCCUCAGUACAUUUUUCUUUUUCUUUUUUGAGGUAGGGUUUUGCUCUGUUGCCCAGGCUGGAGUACAGUGGUGUGAUCACAACUCACUGCGGCCUCAACCUCCCAGGCUCAAGCGAUCCUCCCACCUCAGCCUCCCAAGUAGCUGGGACCACAGGCGUGUACCACCCACGCCUGGCUAGUUUUUUAAAAUUUCUUUUGUAGAGGCAGAGUCUCCCUGUGUUGCCCUGGUUUCAAACUUGGGCCAAGUGAUUCUCUGCCCCAGCCUCUCAAAGUGCUGGGAUUACAGGUGUGAGCCACCGUGCCUGACAAGCCUGAUAUGUUUUUUUAAAUGAUCAUUAGUAUUUGAUCUCUACUCUUUUUCUCUCAACCACCCAACUCCCGGUUUACGGUCAGGAAGAAUCUAUAACAUGAACUCCUGCUUAAAAACAAGGGUAUAGAUCCCAUAUUCAGGUCUUAGACUGGGAAGAAGAGAAGGCAGUCAAAAAUAUUAAAUAUAUGAAUUUCAGUAAAUUCAGUUGGGGAUGCCAUUUCAGCUUUGCAGUCAGUUACUCCAGAAUAUGUCAAUGUAUGGCAAAGCAUGUGACAGCAGGAUCUCUGCACCCUCUCCAUUUACCAGCUGUGGUGGAUCUCUUAGCCACAUCUCUGUUUAUAAUGUGCUUAUUGAAAACUAAUGUAUUACUUUUAUUAUCAUAGCUACCAUUUACUGAAUAUUUACAUUGUGCUAACACUGGUUCAGAUGGCUUCAUCAUAUUUACCUGAUUUAAUCCUCACAACAACCUUAUGUGCUAGGUCCAGUUAUUACCAUCUUUUUUUUUUUUUGAGACGGAGUCUCACUCUGUCGCCAGGCUGGAGUGCAGUGGCGCGAUUUCGUCUCACUGCUGCAACCUCCGCCUCCCAGGUUCAAGUGAUUCUCCUGCCUCAGCCUCCCAGGUAGCUGGGACUACAGGCACAUGCCACCACGCCCAGCUAAUUUUUGUAUUUUUAUAGAGACGAGACUUCACCAUGUUGGCCAGGAUGAUCUCAAUCUCUUGACCUCGUGAUCCGCCCAUCACAGCCUCCAAAAGUGCUGGGAUUACAGGCGUGAGCCACCGCACCCGGCCUAUUACCCUCAUUUUACAGAUGAGGAGACUGAGGCACAGAGAGUUAAAGUGAUUUGUGCAGGGUUGUGUGAGGAGCUGGUGGCAGAGCUUGGCAUUCUGGCUCUGGAGUCUGCAUUUGGCCAUCUCACCGUACAGUGUCAUAGAAACAGGAAACUCGAGAAGAUAAACUGCCAGGCUGUAUUUUGGAGUCAGUAUUUUAACACUGUCACCAUCUCAAGCAUGAUCUGUGGGACUCAUCACUGUGCUCUUUGACUUGAACUUCUUUAAGGUUAGUGGGAAAAUGAAGCUUUAGAGAAGAUGGGACUGGCCUAAGGUCACACUGCAUGUCAGAAGUGUGGUGGAGGGUCCAGGUCUUCUGACCAUUCAGUGCAAGCCAAAUUGUGCUAAUUUCCAAUUUUUCUCCCUUUCUCUUGGUGAGCUAUUUGGUGCUACUUCUACUCCUCAUGACCAAAGCUGGCUUUCAUGGUUUACUCAUGUACUUACUGAUGAAACCCUGAGACUUGGGGCCAGUGACUGUUCAGAGGUCCAUGUGAAGAUGCGCUGAAUGGUAUAAAGGACAGAGCAGUAAAGAGUGCUGGCUGAAUGCCUGGGCUGGCAAUCAGGCAUGUUGGAGUUUGAGUCCCAGUCUGCCACUCCAGCUCUGUGACCAAGAGGAAGUGAAGUCAUGUACCCUUUCUAAGUCUCUAGCCCCUCUUCUGAAAGACGAAGAUGCCACCACCAACCAUGUUAGUGGUUGUGAAUGCCAAGAAAGUCCAUGUGAAGCACAUAGCAUAGUGUCUGCCAUGCGUUAAGUGUUCCAAAAAUGGAAGCUAUGACUAUUUCACAGAGUACACUUCCCAUCACUUUUCAGUUCAUUUUGGCCUUCUCCCUCAAAAGCACUCCAGUGUUCUGAUCCAGCUGAUAAAACACCAAACAUUCACAUAGUGCUUUAAAAGUGACCCACUGUUUUUACAGACUGCAUUACAUAUGACCCUAACAACCACUGCAAUAUAGAAAUUCGCAUCUCCAUUCUCCAGAUCAGGAUACCGAAGCUCAGAAAAAUUAAAUGAUUUGCCCAGGAUCACAUAGUUAGUAAGCAGCCCAGCCAGAUCCUGUGUUAACUUGUUCAUCCGCUUCCUAUAAGAAAACAUCCAUUCAAGGCACAUGGGGCAACAAAGAAGGACUUAGAGCUGUGUGGCCCCUCGUCAGGGCAGUACCAGUUGCACCCAUAGUCCGGCCUGAAUACUCAGCUUAGGACUAUUGUGUCCAAUGUCCCAAACAUUUUGAAGCUACAUCUUAAAGAAGUGUCCUGCUCAGAUGCAGUUCUCCUUGUGAAAUCCGCAGGCCCCAAGGAAAGUGACUUUAAUCCAGUUUGCUCAUGCAAGAACAGACUGGCAUUUCACAUCCAGGAAAACAAUGGAUUUGUACUGUUCAGCUUUUGCCAUGCAAGGAGUUCCUGGUGUGGUUUAUUAAUUUACAUCUCAGGCUCCAGCUUCACUAUCAAUCAGAUUUGGAAGAAAAAAGUUACAAAGAAAGGCAGCUUGCUGAGAAACAGCGGAAGCAUGACGGUACAGACUGGGUUUUGAAAUGGAGACACAUUCUCAUGGCUUGUGGGCUGAGAGACACUGAGAAAGGAUUUUGUUCUUGAAAGAUGAUUGUUUUAAUGCUGGAGAUGGAGAGUUUUGACAAUUUUAAGUGCAUGUUCUGUGUGUAAGAAAGAGUCAUUACGUUUUUUUUUUCUUUCAGAUGUUGCCAUGCCUUAAAAUUGCUGAUGAUUAAAAUAGAACAUCCUGAGUUACAGAAAUUCAGCCCUAGUGUAUCCUGGCCUAAAAAUACAGAACAAUCAAGUUGAUUGUUGGAAAUGAGAGGCUAGGCAGGGUUGGAAACAUGCUAAUGUUUACUGAGUGAAAUCUUUCCUUCUCAGUAGAGUUGCCCUUGCAGCUGAAAGUCACUGAAAGACUCAACAAAAUAAGCAGAUCCCACUUGUCUCACUCUGUUCUCCUAUGCAUGCCCUGGAAAGAGAAUGAAUGAGCCCUUUUUAAUUUAUCAACUGGUUUUCUUCCAUCUCUUUACUAGUGAGCCAUGGGGGUUUUUUGCCGUUAACUGGGUAGCCAGUCUCUUCAUGGAGACUUAUUUUCAGGAAACUAGCCUCUUGCUUUAUGUGAAAACAAGGACCCAACUCAAGAUGUCUUAUCACAGUGUGUUCUGUUGCGUAACAGUUGCAUCUGUAGUCCAGCCUCAAUACUCAGGUUGGGACUGUUUUGUCCUGAUGUCUCGAACAUUUCAAAGCUACGUUCUUAAAGAAAUGUCCUGCUCAGAUAGAGCUCUCCUUGUGAAAUCCUCAAACCCCAGGGGAAGUGACCUUAAGCCAGUUUGCUGGCUUUUCAUGUCACAGAAAACAAUCGACUGCCACUACUCAGCUGUUGCCACACAGGAGUACCUGGCGUGGUCACUACUUGCCAACUCAGUACCCCACUUUCUCCCCAAGGACAUAAAAGCAAUGUGGGAAGAUAUACCAAAUGACCUUGUCACACUGGGCUAAUAUGAAGAGCCCACAGAUGCAAAAUAAUGUAUCAUACCUUUAUUCUUCUGAUUUUUUUUUUUUUUUUUUUUUUCGGAGACAGUCUCACUCUUUUGCCCAGGCUGGAAUCCAGUGGCGCGAUCUUGGCUCACUGCAACCUCUGCCACCCGGGUUCAGGCAAUUCUCCUGCCUCAGCCUCCCGCCCAGCUAAUUUUUGUAUUAUUAAUUAGUAGAGAGAGGGUUUCACCUUCUUGGCCAGGCUAGUCUUGAACUCCUGACCUCGUGAUACACCUGCCUUGGCCUCCCAAAGUGCUGGGAUUACAGGCGUGAGCCACCGUGCCUGGCCUUUUUUUUUUUUUUUUUUUUUUUUUUUUGAGAUGGAGUCUGGCUGUAUUGCCCAGGCUGGAGUGCAGUGGCAUGAUCUUGGCUCACUGCAACCUCUGCCUCCCAGGUUCAAGUGAUUCUCCUGCCUCAGCCUCCUGAGUAGCUGGGAUUGCAGGCAUCCCAUACCCGGCUAAUUUUUUUGAAACAGAGGCUUGCUCUGUCACCCAGGCUGGAGUGCAAUGGCACGAUCUCAGCUCAGUGCAACCUCCGCCUACUGGGCUCAAGCAACUCUCCUGCCUCGGCCUCAGCCUCACUACAGGCAUGUGCCACCACGCCUGGCUAGUUUGGUUUUUUUUUUUUGUAUUUUUUUAGUAGAUAUGGGGUUUCACCAUGUUGGCCAGGUUGGUCUCAAACUUCUGACCUCAAGUGAUCUGCCUGCCUCAGCCUCCCAAAAUGCUGGGAUUACAGGUAUGAGCCACCACGCUUAGCCUUCUGCUGAAUUUUUGAGAAGCAUACAUAAAGACAAUGUAAAAAACUUAGCAUAUUUGUUUGGCCCUGCUAAGGGCAUGGUUGAAUAUAUAGUGUGUGUGAUGUAUUUGGUGUAUGAGAUAUAUAUGAUCUUAUCAGACAUAAGUAAAAGAAAUUCAUUCUUCAGGAAAAAUUUUCCCCAUAACUGAAGUGUCAAUCAUUUGAAAAAACUUCUAGGCAGUAGGCAAACACUGUGACUAGUUAUUUAUCAAAAAUAAGCAGACUUUAGAGUUUUGUAACUGAUGAGAAUAAUCUGGCUGCUUCUUUUGUACUUCAGUCACUGAUACUGCGAAUUAGAGUAGCAUAUACAGAAGGAUGCAGGGGGUCCCUAAAGGAAUCACAGAAUUAGUGAAACCAUUAUUUGAGAGUUGCAGUGAUUCUUCUGUCCUGGCACUUUUCCCAGUUUUGGUGCUUAAAUUUACUAUCCACUUGAAAUGUGUCACUGCCUGUCACUUCACAAAGUAUGUGCCUUUCACUGCAGUCAACAAGCUGUUUACAUCUUUGAUGAAAUGAUUGCCACGCAUCUCCAUAGCCCUGGUGUUCUAUUCCCUUAUUCACAGAGAUUUUUUUUAAAAACCAGCCUAGCAGCAAUAGGUAUGUGCUGUGGAUGCUUCUCCAUGAUGAUAAAGGAUGAGUUUGUGCUGGGAUCUCCUUAUGAAAAGAUAACUGGCCAAGCCCAUGAGGAACAAGAAUGUUAUGCUAAUCAGACCCAAGGUAAACAGCCUGCAGUGCACCUCCUGACUGAUUAGCACUGAACCCACUUGGAAUCAUCAACCACAGUUUAUAAAAACAGUGCACACCCCUUUAAUUAGGUGGCCUGGGUACAUGAAGUAUCUUUUUGGAUGCCUAGAACACAAAAAGGGACGACAACAGGCCACCUAAUAAGAUGAUACCAAGAACUAUACCAUGACGGCGAAAAAGAACUGCUGCAAAAAAUAAUUUGCCAAGGAGAACUCAGAGUACAAAGCCUUACCUUUGGAGUAGAGGGAAGGAGAGUCUUAAGUAAAGCUCACAAAAACCCCUAACUCAUAGAUGCAGUCUAAGGAAUUCAUUCCGGAAGCGACAUUAGCAUCUCAUUAGUGCCAUUAUGUGACUUACUUGGCCUCUGAGCUAGUCUAUUUUCUUCCCUAGACCCCAAAAUCUCAGUAAUCCUUUGGAUCCAAGUUAUCUCCAAGUGAAAAUAAUAGGUUUAGGAAAGCGUUUUUCUUCAACUUCUAUGGAGCACUUGCUUGCUUUGUCCUAUUUGCAUGUCCGACGGACGGUUCUCCAGCACCACUGCUAGUCGUCCUCCGCCUGCCUGGGUACUUGAUCACAGGAUGCCUCUGACUUCUCCUGCCUUUACCCAAGCAAAGGAUUUUCCUUGUCUUCCCACCCAAGAGUGACGGGGCUGACAUGUGCCCUUGCCUCUAAAUGAUGAAGCUGAACCUUUGUCUGGGCAACUUAACUUAAGAAUAAGGGAGUCCCAGGCAUGCUCUCCCAUCAAUAACAAAUUCAGUGACAUCAGUUUAUGAAUAUAUGAAAUUUGCCAAAGCUCUGUUUAGACCACUGAGUAACUCACAGCUAGGUUUCAACUUUUCCUUUCUAGGUUGUCUUGGGUUUAUUGUAAGAGAGCAUUAUGAAGAAAAAAAUAGAUCAUAAAGCUUCUUCAGGAAGCUGGUUUCAUAUGGUGGUUUAGAUUUAAAUAGUGAUUGUCUAGCACCAUUUGAAAUCAGUGUUCUUGGGGGAGACCAGCUGCGCUGCACUACCAACAGCAAAAGAAGUGAAUGGGACAGCUCUGAAGUAUUUGAAAGCAACAGCAGGAUGGCUGUGAGAACCUGCCUCACAUGUAGCUGACCCCUUCCUCACCCCUGCCAACAGUGGUGGCAUAUAUCACAAAUGGCAGUCAGGUCUCUGCACUGGCGGAUCCAACUGUGAUCGAAAGUUUUCCAAAAAUAAGUUGUGUCUGUAUUGAACAUGAACAGACUUUCUUCUUGUCAUUAUUCUCUAACAAUACUGCAUAACAAUUAUUUGCAUACAUUUGCAUUGCAUUAAGUAUUCUAAGUAAUCUAGAGACGAUUUAAAGUAUACGGGAGGAUGUGUGUAGGUUGUAUGCAAAUACUACACCAUUUUCUAUCAGAGACUUGAGCAUCUGUGGAUUUUGGUAUCCAAGGGGCUUUCUGGAACCAAUCCCUCAAGGAUACCAAGGGAUGAAUGUAAUUGUACAGGAUAUCGCAUUGUUGGAAUUUUAUACUUCUUUGUGGAAUAAACCUAUAGCACUUAAUAGAUAGUACAGACUCAUUCCAUUGUGCCUGGGUUAAAGAGCCCAAUGUAUGCUGGAUUUAGUAAGAUUUGGGCCCUCCCAACCCUCACGACCUUCUGUGACCCCUUAGAGGAUGACUGAUUUCUUUUGGUGUUCAGAGUCAAUAUAAUUUUCUAGCACCAUCUGAAAUCGGUUAUAAUGAUUGGGGAAGAGCACCAUGAUGCUGACUGCUGAGAGGAAAUGUAUUGGUGACCGUUGGGGCCAUGGACAAGAACUAAGAAAACAAAUGCAAAGCAAUAAUGCAAAGGUGAUUUUUCUUCUUCCAGUUUCUAAGUUGAAUUUCACUGACCUGAAUUGCAUGUGGUAUAAUACUAACAAAUGGUUCACUAUUAGCAUAUCAUGAAUGGUUAUACUUUAUAGAAAUUCCAUAGACUUGGUGGGGGUUUUGUUUUGGUGACGGAUACCUAGAAACACUCCUGGGGAAAAUCGAUGACUGGCUUAGAUGAUGGGAAAGGAGCAGCGAGGGAGUCAAUUCUGUUGUUGAUGAGAAGCUGCACCAGCUAUCUCUGAACUCUCCUCUCUUAGCUGGCUGAGGAGUUCCCUCCAUGGUUAAACAGGUCAUUUUCUUACAUAAGGAAAAAUGGUCCAGAGAAACUGGGUUUCUAUGGCUGAGACAGAACUGUGCUAAUAUGUGUCAGUUCAGUUUAGAAGGCAAAGCAACAAAAGCAGGUGCUACUUGAACUAGGAUCCUAGAGUAUACCUUUGAUAUGGUUUGGAUGUUUGUCCCCUCCAAUCUCAUGUUGAAGUGUGAUCCCCAGUGCUUGCACCCUCACGACAUGCUCUCUCUCUCUCCCUCUCCUCUUUUCUCUCUUCUCUCCCUUCUCUCCUCUCUCUUAUCUCUCUCUUCUCUCUCUCGUACACAUACUCUGGAAAGCCAGCUACCAUACUGGGAACUGCCCAAUGGAGAGGCCCACAUUCCACAAGGAACUGAUGUCUUCAGCCAAUACCUCGCCAGGACCUGAGGCCUGCUGAGAGUCACGAGUGGCCUUCGUGGGUCCUCUCUCAACGAGCUUGCAGGUGACCACUGCGCCAGCCAAAACCUUGAUGGCAGCCUAUGAGUGAGUGACCCUGAGCCAGAAGACCCAGUUAAGCCAUGCCCAGGAUCCUGACCUGCAGAAACUAUGACAUAAUAAAUUUAUUGUUUUAUGCCACUAACUUUUGGGGUUACUUAUGCAGCAAUAGAUAGCUAAUACAGCUCAUAGUAUCCUUAUCUAGCCUCAAACAUUCUGCCUUUAGUAUCUAACUUUCCUAACUUUUUAGAUAAACUUUUUUGGGGGGGAUAAUUUUAGAUUUACAGAAAAAAGGCAAAGAUAGUAUAGAGAGUUCCUUUAUAUUUCUCUCCUAGUUUCCUCUAUUGUUCAUAUCUCAUAAAACGAUGGUUUUGGGUUUUUUGAGACGGCGUCUCACUCUGUCACCCAGGCUAGAGUGCAGUGGUGAUCAUAGCUCACUGCAGCCUUGAACUCCUGGCUCAAGGGAUCUUACUACCUCAGCUUCCCAAGUAGCUGGGUUCACAGCAUGUACCACCACACAUGGCUAAUUAAAACAUAUAUAUAUUAUAUAAUAUAUAUAUUUUAAGUUAUUAGUAAGUAUAUCAAAUACUGCUCCAGAUUUACAAAUGGUUAUUUUCCACUAUGAUGUCAAUACACAUUAAUUUG